AUUUCACUCAAGCUACAGCCAAUAGUGCUCAUUCUUUUGAAACUCUGUGUAUUAAUGGCUUGGUUUUUUCUCUGUUUUUUUUUCAGGAGUUUCAUAAUCAGCUUACAAAGCUACUGAAAGGAAAGAUUCUUUAAGUGCUAUUAAUGAAUUUCUCUAGAUUGUAGUAUUGUACUGCCGCCAGGAGACUGGGAAGACAAGCUCUUCUCCCCUUAAGAACUUAAAGCAAAAAGUGAAGCAAUUCGACGAAGACAAAUCCGAGCCAAAGUAAAGCAGGAAACACAAAAAGCUUUAGCCUCACCAGGAGAUGGAGGAAAAAAACCACCAAUUGACCCAUUGCAACGAAACUAAGAGGCCUUUGGUGGAUUGUUCAACGAUAUGAAAAAAGAUUUCCUUUCUAUAUGCCUCCGACUUCAAAGACGGUCUGAAUUUUCAUGUUUAGCUGCUGCAAUUUUCAUGUACUUUGCUGCUGCCUGUUCUGGUGCUAUAACUUUUGGUGGUCUUUUAGCUGACAAAACAAGCAAUCUCAUGGGAAUAUCUGAAACCUUGGUAUCCACUUGCCAUUUAUGGGCCGUCAUAUUCGCUCUUUUGCUGGCCAGCCACUGGUUAUCAUCGGCACAACAGGCCAUUAUUGUUAUUUGAUGAGAGCCUUUUUAGUGUAGUUUAGAAUAUCAAAAUAUCAGUCAUUAUUAUCGUAACCAGAAUGAAUAAUUCAAAAUAUUUUCCAACAAAAUUCAAUCAGAAAUAGCUGAAAAAUUCAAAUGCUUAGUCCUUAUCAUAGAACAUUCAUAUUUGAUUUAAUGCAUUAUGAGUGAUCCCAGUCAAACCCUAAACAUUUAUCCUGACUUGUUUUUUAUACAAAAAAAACCAAAGUCAAAAUGUAUUCAAAUUGGUGCACUGUGCUGUAAUAGGGUGUGCACAGGCCUGAAAACCGGCAAUUGUCAUGGAAUUUCAUCAGGGCAGGGGAAUCGGGGAAUUUUAUCAAAAAGGCAGGAAAAUUUGAAAAUCAAAAUCAGAAAAACAUCAGCACUAUCCACAAAAUCAAACUGAGUCUUAAUUUAGGUCAGGGUUCAGUGCUCUGAACUACUCUCAAUAAUGAAUAAAGAAUUGAAAUUUUAUUUAAUUGAAUGACUAAUACCUGAAGAAAAGAAAUCACACAUGUCUCUGUUGUCUGUAGUAGAAUUAAAUUUCUGGAUGUCUCGAGAAGUUCUCUCCAUCCAGCUUUUUGUCGGCGCUUUUUUCUCAUUCUAUAGCUUUCUUUUUAUCUCUGUUUCAGUUUUGCAAAAAAAUAAUGUGGAAUUCUUAACUAUGAGAGUUUACAUUGGGUUUUGGCUUGGCGUAUAGCUUUGCUGGUGGCAGCUGUUGAGGGCAGUGUUUUUUGUCAAAGUCUUCACACGCUUUUCUGAAGAAAUUUUCUCUUCUCUCAUCUCAUUACUGUAUAUUCACGAAAGUUUUUUAAAAAUACUAGCAGUAAGUUUCCUCUUUGUCAAUAAUUCAACAUUUCAUACAAUUACCAACAGAAAGAUAUCUCUGAACAAGGUAAUAUCGCAUGAAAAUUUUAUGAAAAGCAGCAAACUGCGUGUUAAAUUGAGGCAAUGCUCGAUUUUUAUGUAUUCAACCAAAAAAGAAUGAGCCAAAAAAACAAGAGUAAUAUGAAGAUACGUCUCUCAUUUGAUGACCAAUGAUCAAUCAUUAUUCUGUGAAUUUUUUUUAUGACUUAUGAGAAAUACCUCCUUCCAAGGUAGAAUGUCCCUUAUUUGUAAGUAAAAGCAACGAUACAUGAGAGUAAAAGGCUGUUCCUCCUCCUAGUACACUUCUCUAAGCUGCAGAGAGAAUUCCAUAUAACUCACAGAAUCUCUAAGAUUACUGGAUCCAUUAUUUUAUUGGCUCUUGUGUAUCUCUUUGGAAGUUCUUAAGCAGUUUUUUACUUGAUUUUCAUGUAGGUAUUUCACUCUGUUUCAGUUGUUUUAUCUUCAACCCCUUUUGAUGACCUUGGAUAGUUACUGUGCCAAAUCCCCCACAGCAUUAUCACCAGGUCCUGCACCAUAUCUUGCUGCACCCUCUAAUAAUUCCUCAUCACAGUAAGUAUAAUUUUGUGUUUCAUUUAUCACUUCCUUUGUCUUAGUCGAUC
RNAcentral lists this long non-coding RNA (2128 nucleotides) under Bemisia tabaci. Its description in RNAcentral is "lncRNA ENSSWEETPG007338". The record is from RNAcentral. Lineage: Eukaryota; Metazoa; Arthropoda; Insecta; Hemiptera; Aleyrodidae.